Molecule: ribosomal RNA, 2791 nt
Filed under: Escherichia coli O157 str. NCCP15738
Lineage: Bacteria; Pseudomonadati; Pseudomonadota; Gammaproteobacteria; Enterobacterales; Enterobacteriaceae
Description: bacterial LSU rRNA
Rfam family: Bacterial large subunit ribosomal RNA
Source: RNAcentral
UUAAGCGACUAAGCGUACACGGUGGAUGCCCUGGCAGUCAGAGGCGAUGAAGGACGUGCUAAUCUGCGAUAAGCGUCGGUAAGGUGAUAUGAACCGUUAUAACCGGCGAUUUCCGAAUGGGGAAACCCAGUGUGUUUCGACACACUAUCAUUAACUGAAUCCAUAGGUUAAUGAGGCGAACCGGGGGAACUGAAACAUCUAAGUACCCCGAGGAAAAGAAAUCAACCGAGAUUCCCCCAGUAGCGGCGAGCGAACGGGGAGCAGCCCAGAGCCUGAAUCAGUGUGUGUGUUAGUGGAAGCGUCUGGAAAGGCGCGCGAUACAGGGUGACAGCCCCGUACACAAAAAUGCACAUGCUGUGAGCUCGAUGAGUAGGGCGGGACACGUGGUAUCCUGUCUGAAUAUGGGGGGACCAUCCUCCAAGGCUAAAUACUCCUGACUGACCGAUAGUGAACCAGUACCGUGAGGGAAAGGCGAAAAGAACCCCGGCGAGGGGAGUGAAAAAGAACCUGAAACCGUGUACGUACAAGCAGUGGGAGCACGCUUAGGCGUGUGACUGCGUACCUUUUGUAUAAUGGGUCAGCGACUUAUAUUCUGUAGCAAGGUUAACCGAAUAGGGGAGCCGAAGGGAAACCGAGUCUUAACUGGGCGUUAAGUUGCAGGGUAUAGACCCGAAACCCGGUGAUCUAGCCAUGGGCAGGUUGAAGGUUGGGUAACACUAACUGGAGGACCGAACCGACUAAUGUUGAAAAAUUAGCGGAUGACUUGUGGCUGGGGGUGAAAGGCCAAUCAAACCGGGAGAUAGCUGGUUCUCCCCGAAAGCUAUUUAGGUAGCGCCUCGUGAAUUCAUCUCCGGGGGUAGAGCACUGUUUCGGCAAGGGGGUCAUCCCGACUUACCAACCCGAUGCAAACUGCGAAUACCGGAGAAUGUUAUCACGGGAGACACACGGCGGGUGCUAACGUCCGUCGUGAAGAGGGAAACAACCCAGACCGCCAGCUAAGGUCCCAAAGUCAUGGUUAAGUGGGAAACGAUGUGGGAAGGCCCAGACAGCCAGGAUGUUGGCUUAGAAGCAGCCAUCAUUUAAAGAAAGCGUAAUAGCUCACUGGUCGAGUCGGCCUGCGCGGAAGAUGUAACGGGGCUAAACCAUGCACCGAAGCUGCGGCAGCGACGCUUAUGCGUUGUUGGGUAGGGGAGCGUUCUGUAAGCCUGUGAAGGUGUACUGUGAGGUAUGCUGGAGGUAUCAGAAGUGCGAAUGCUGACAUAAGUAACGAUAAAGCGGGUGAAAAGCCCGCUCGCCGGAAGACCAAGGGUUCCUGUCCAACGUUAAUCGGGGCAGGGUGAGUCGACCCCUAAGGCGAGGCCGAAAGGCGUAGUCGAUGGGAAACAGGUUAAUAUUCCUGUACUUGGUGUUACUGCGAAGGGGGGACGGAGAAGGCUAUGUUGGCCGGGCGACGGUUGUCCCGGUUUAAGCGUGUAGGCUGGUUUUCCAGGCAAAUCCGGAAAAUCAAGGCUGAGGCGUGAUGACGAGGCACUACGGUGCUGAAGCAACAAAUGCCCUGCUUCCAGGAAAAGCCUCUAAGCAUCAGGUAACAUCAAAUCGUACCCCAAACCGACACAGGUGGUCAGGUAGAGAAUACCAAGGCGCUUGAGAGAACUCGGGUGAAGGAACUAGGCAAAAUGGUGCCGUAACUUCGGGAGAAGGCACGCUGAUAUGUAGGUGAAGUCCCUCGCGGAUGGAGCUGAAAUCAGUCGAAGAUACCAGCUGGCUGCAACUGUUUAUUAAAAACACAGCACUGUGCAAACACGAAAGUGGACGUAUACGGUGUGACGCCUGCCCGGUGCCGGAAGGUUAAUUGAUGGGGUCAGCGCAAGCGAAGCUCUUGAUCGAAGCCCCGGUAAACGGCGGCCGUAACUAUAACGGUCCUAAGGUAGCGAAAUUCCUUGUCGGGUAAGUUCCGACCUGCACGAAUGGCGUAAUGAUGGCCAGGCUGUCUCCACCCGAGACUCAGUGAAAUUGAACUCGCUGUGAAGAUGCAGUGUACCCGCGGCAAGACGGAAAGACCCCGUGAACCUUUACUAUAGCUUGACACUGAACAUUGAGCCUUGAUGUGUAGGAUAGGUGGGAGGCUUUGAAGUGUGGACGCCAGUCUGCAUGGAGCCGACCUUGAAAUACCACCCUUUAAUGUUUGAUGUUCUAACGUUGACCCGUAAUCCGGGUUGCGGACAGUGUCUGGUGGGUAGUUUGACUGGGGCGGUCUCCUCCUAAAGAGUAACGGAGGAGCACGAAGGUUGGCUAAUCCUGGUCGGACAUCAGGAGGUUAGUGCAAUGGCAUAAGCCAGCUUGACUGCGAGCGUGACGGCGCGAGCAGGUGCGAAAGCAGGUCAUAGUGAUCCGGUGGUUCUGAAUGGAAGGGCCAUCGCUCAACGGAUAAAAGGUACUCCGGGGAUAACAGGCUGAUACCGCCCAAGAGUUCAUAUCGACGGCGGUGUUUGGCACCUCGAUGUCGGCUCAUCACAUCCUGGGGCUGAAGUAGGUCCCAAGGGUAUGGCUGUUCGCCAUUUAAAGUGGUACGCGAGCUGGGUUUAGAACGUCGUGAGACAGUUCGGUCCCUAUCUGCCGUGGGCGCUGGAGAACUGAGGGGGGCUGCUCCUAGUACGAGAGGACCGGAGUGGACGCAUCACUGGUGUUCGGGUUGUCAUGCCAAUGGCACUGCCCGGUAGCUAAAUGCGGAAGAGAUAAGUGCUGAAAGCAUCUAAGCACGAAACUUGCCCCGAGAUGAGUUCUCCCUGAC